AUACUGUAUUCCACAGUGGCUGCACUACUUUACAGUCCUGCCAACAGCAUGCAAGGGUCCUGGUUUCUCCACAUCCUUGCUAACAUUUGUUUUUUUUCUGUUUUUUUUUUUUGUUGUUGUUGUUGUUGUUGAUAGUGACCAUCCUGUUGAGUGUAAGAUGGUGUCUUAUUGUGGUUUUGAUUUGCAUUUUCCUAAUGAUUAGUGAUGCUGAUCAUCUUUUCAUGUGCUUAUUGGUCCUUUGCAUAUUUUCUUUGGAGAAUUAUCUACUUGCCCAUUUUUAUAUCAACCUUCUUAAUUUU
Molecule: long non-coding RNA, 299 nt
Filed under: Homo sapiens (human)
Lineage: Eukaryota; Metazoa; Chordata; Mammalia; Primates; Hominidae
Description: non-protein coding lnc-ABHD6-5:1
Source: RNAcentral